RNAcentral lists this ribosomal RNA (246 nucleotides) under uncultured bacterium. RNAcentral's name for it is "partial 16S ribosomal RNA". It matches the Rfam family "Bacterial small subunit ribosomal RNA", at positions 88 to 334 of the family's 1533-position model. The record is from RNAcentral.
CGGUCGACCGGCGCACGGGUGAGUAACGCGUAUCCAACCUGCCCACCACUUGGGGAUAACCUUGCGAAAGUAAGACUAAUACCCAAUGAUAUCUCUAGAAGACAUCUGAAAGAGAUUAAAGAUUUAUCGGUGAUGGGUGGGGAUGCGUCUGAUUAGCUUGUUGGCGGGGUAACGGCCCACCAAGGCAACGAUCAGUAGGGGUUCUGAGAGGAAGGUCCCCCACAUUGGAACUGAGACACGGUCCAA